RNAcentral lists this ribosomal RNA (253 nucleotides) under uncultured bacterium. RNAcentral's name for it is "partial 16S ribosomal RNA". It matches the Rfam family "Bacterial small subunit ribosomal RNA", at positions 524 to 776 of the family's 1533-position model. The record is from RNAcentral.
UACGAAGGGGGCUAGCGUUGCUCGGAAUCACUGGGCGUAAAGCGCACGUAGGCGGCUUGUUAAGUCAGGGGUGAAAUCCUGGAGCUCAACUCCAGAACUGCCUUUGAUACUGGCGACCUUGAGUCCGGGAGAGGUGAGUGGAACUGCGAGUGUAGAGGUGAAAUUCGUAGAUAUUCGCAAGAACACCAGUGGCGAAGGCGGCUCACUGGCCCGGUACUGACGCUGAGGUGCGAAAGCGUGGGGAGCAAACAGG